RNAcentral lists this long non-coding RNA (2648 nucleotides) under Sus scrofa (pig). RNAcentral describes it as "lncRNA (ENSSSCG00030010445.1)". Lineage: Eukaryota; Metazoa; Chordata; Mammalia; Artiodactyla; Suidae. The record is from RNAcentral.
AAGCCUGGGCUCUGCAGCUCCAGCACGGACACAGCCCACCCGUGGUCCAAACCUCGCCCUGUACACUUGCUGGGAAACUGGGCAGUUACCAGCUCCAUCGAGUGUUGUGCCCAAGGAGACUCUAUCACCAGAAGGGUGUUAAGUCGAGAGUAGCUGUUCACCGAGAUUCCUGUUUGCUCUCAUUACUGCCGAAUUGCAAGAGCGGAAGGUGCAAACUCCCCACCUGGACCGUUGGGCGUGAUGGUAACGCUGCUAUGUAGCUACGGGGGGGGGCACGUCACCAUCUAAAAGCCACUGGCUCAACAUGUGUGCCACGCUGAAAGACAGGCCCCUAGCCCUGCAGGAGGCUGUCCCCAAGCUGGCUUCCUACAGGUGUCCACCCAGAAGGUGGGUUGCUUCUCCCUCCAGGAUGCAGGGCUCUGCCCUAACCAACUUGCCACCAGCAUCGGGUUAGAAGCAGCCUCGGCCGUGGGUGAGAGGGGGUCCACGCUGCAGGUCUCUUGCACACCUCCAUCCCCGCCACCACGACCGCACUGUCCACACGGCCCAUGGCCCUCUGUGCAGGGCGAUGGCGGGGCAGGCAGAGCCUGGCCUGGCUGCCCUCAGCUACAGACACCACCUGAGCACCGGUUGCCAAGCGCCCCUUUACUGAUGCUCCCUGAAAGAUUGAGAGGGGAUCACAGGCCCUUCCCUACUCCCUGGCAACCCCUCAUCCCAUCUCGCCCCUUCCAGACCCCCACUGAGGAGCCCAGCCACCCAGCACUGCCCACACAUCUGUGCACAGAGGCGGUAGGCCAGCUUCUCCGCCCUGUCUGCCCUUCGCCCUGGCAGGAGCUGGGCUGGAGCCAGGCAGCAGGCCAUUGUUGGUUCACAUCGAAUUAUCCAGCAAACCCAUUCGUAAACCACGUCCAGAGGCCCUGGGAGUUAAGACUUGAACCUACCUUUGAGGGGAGAAAGCUCAACCCACAAGCAAGAUCAUGGCUCGGAAACACCCACCAGAGGCCGAGCUUCCUGUCACGCGACAUCAGAGCAAACGCGAAAUCUCAGGGUGUCUCUUGCCUCGGCACCAGACUCGUCCCAACACACCCAUGACGGGUCCACCGUCAUCCUCACUGGUCCCAGCAGCCGUCCGUAACCCCCUCCCAGGUUCCAGACUUCGGGUGGGGUCGGGUGGGGGGACAAGCUUGACAGUCCCUGGUACUUAUCCCUGGAGCCCUGUUCGUGUCAGCUGUGUGAACCGUUGUGUUGGACAGGCGGAGUGUUCGGGACCAAACAGCCUUUCAAAGAUGGAGACGUGGUCCCCUCCGAGGCAAAGGACGAAGUUGAUUGCUGACCAGCAGGUUGAAAAUAACAGCAGAGUUGGAGUUCCCAUCAUGGCACAGGGGAAACAAACCUGACCAGAAUGUAUCUCUUAAUGAACAAGAAUUGAGCGUUUGUUGGCCACUGACCAUGGUUAGUCAAUGAAGCCUUUAAAUCUCUGCUUUUCAAAGUUUGCUAAGAUUUAAAUGUCCCAUGAACAUACAAGGAUGAAUACGCUUGGCUCAAGAGAUUAUAUGCUUAUAUUUAUUAGGUUGCAAAAACAGUCCAGAGAGCUCCCGUGUGGACUUCACACAGCUUCCUUCGGUGAAAACGUCUCACGGAGCCGGAGGGCAGUCCAGCGAGGGGGCUGACGACGGUAUAAACUGCAGACAGUGUUUGGAUUUUGCCGGGUUUCACAGGUACCUUCGUGCUGCGUCUGUCAACUCCAGCCGGAGUCACCACCACGGGGUCAGGCUCCGGAGCUGCUCCCGUCCCCUGGAGUCUCACCCCGACCCCUGAGCUUUUGUCUCAUCGCCACCUUCUAUGUUGGAUCUGUCCAGGUCUCGAAGGUGUAACUGCUAAUGUUGGUUUUCCCUAAAUCUCAAAUCCUUACAAAAUCUUGUAUGAGAUGCUCAAAGCGCAGGUUGAUUGAAAACUUUUAUCUUUCAUAAAUCGGGCUUGAAUCCGCUCCUAAUGUUCAUCUUCCUCCUGAUUUUACUUCUUUUACCCUUGUUUUCAGUGGGUCUGAUGCUAUCCUUCCAGUCCUAUUUUUAUGACUCUUUACCUGGAAUCUUCAUUUUCAGCCUUUAUUCGUCUCCUGAAGUUAAAUUGUGUAGAGAGCAUAAGCAGGUUUACUUUUUAUGCUUCAUGGAAGGGUCUUUUUUUUUUUUAAAUAAGAAAACAAAUCCAUUCACAUUUAGUGUACUGACAGAUAGACUUUUCUUUGUUCCCGUUAUUUUAAAUAAGUUAUUUUUUAUUUGACAUUGCUGUUUUCUAUUUUCCUUUUCCAUGUGUUUGUUGGUGUGUUCAAAGGUCUCUUCACUCAAUUUUUUGGUCCCAUUUUAUUUUUUUAAUUUUUAUUUUGUUUUAUUUUGCUUUUUAUGGCCAGACUAUGGAAGUGCCCAGGCGAGGGGUCACAUUGGAGCUGCAGCUACCAGCCUAGGCCACAGUCACACCACGGGAUCCUUAACCCACUGAGCAAGGCCAGGGAUCGAACCCACAUCCUCAUGGAUACCAGUCAGGUUCGUCUCCACUGAGCCACAACGGGAACUCCUGUCCUUUGUUUCUUUAAAUUUUAAAAAAUUGCAGCAUGGUUUGCACUUAAUAAAUGGUUGUCUUUCCUUUCUUGG